AUUUUCAGAAAGUACAUUUUACAAUAAUUAUAUUCCCCUGAAAAUUACUCCUCUAAUAUGGAACAAGUCCUUGUUUAGAGGAGGAGUUAAUACAACAUUUAGUACAAUUUGCAACAAUUGGUACAAUACAAGAAAGAAGUGGUUAAUCUUCUACAGCUGUAGUUUAAGCCCAGGCCACAUCAAACUCGCUCCCGCGGCGGUAGCGAAGUUAAAAAACUCGCUUUCCAUGUUAUUAAAAUUGAGCAGGCCACACCGAGCUCGCUCCUGCAGAGGGAGUACCUCGGCGGUAAUUUCACUUCACCGUGCCAGGCGAACUUUUGAAACAUCUGCUGGUGGUACUACCGCAGAGGUAGCGAGCUCGGCCUGCCUUGCACAAUUGAAUAACAUGGAAAGCGAGUUUUAAAAGUUUGCCUUCGGUAGCGCAUGCGCAGGAUACCUAGACUCACACUUGACAAUGAGUCAUUCGCAUGUCACAUUAUUUCUAAGUAAUUUUAGGUUGCUCAAAUUAAUUAGCGUCAUGUCCACUGUCGAUCACUUCUGGAGGGGAUGUGCGUAAACUUGUGAAAUUAUACAUCAAAUUGGAGAGAAUUUUAUGCUCUAUAAGCUCAUGAUCAGCAUGUAUUUUUCCCAUCGAUAUU
Nilaparvata lugens (brown planthopper) is the source of this 638-nucleotide long non-coding RNA. RefSeq lists it as uncharacterized. The transcript is spliced from 2 exons. Lineage: Eukaryota; Metazoa; Arthropoda; Insecta; Hemiptera; Delphacidae. The record is from RefSeq and is a predicted model, not a curated record.